This 611-nucleotide ribosomal RNA is filed under the name Clostridioides difficile. Its description in RNAcentral is "partial 23S ribosomal RNA". It matches the Rfam family "Bacterial large subunit ribosomal RNA", at positions 1586 to 2210 of the family's 2925-position model. Lineage: Bacteria; Bacillati; Bacillota; Clostridia; Peptostreptococcales; Peptostreptococcaceae. The record is from RNAcentral.
CGAAGUAGCUGAUUUCACACUGUCAAGAAAAGUCUCUAUCGAGGUUAAAGGUACCCGUACCGCAAACCGACACAGGUGGGUGAGGAGAGUAUCCUAAGGCCAGCGAGAGAACUGUUGUUAAGGAACUCGGCAAAAUGACCCCGUAACUUAGGGAUAAGGGGUGCCACCAUCAGGUGGCCGCAGAGAAUAGGCCCAAGCGACUGUUUACCAAAAACAUAGGUUUCUGCUAAGUCGCAAGACGAUGUAUAGGAGCUGACGCCUGCCCGGUGCUGGAAGGUUAAGGGGAUCUGUUAGAGCAAUCGAAGCAGUGAACUUAAGCCCCAGUAAACGGCGGCCGUAACUAUAACGGUCCUAAGGUAGCGAAAUUCCUUGUCGGGUAAGUUCCGACCCGCACGAAAGGCGUAACGAUUUGGGCACUGUCUCAACAACAGACUCGGUGAAAUUGUAAUUCCGGUGAAGAUGCCGGAUACCUGCGACAGGACGGAAAGACCCCAUGGAGCUUUACUGUAGCUUGACAUUGGGUCUUGGUACUACAUGUACAGGAUAGGUGGGAGGCUUUGAAACCAGGACGCCAGUUUUGGCGGAGCCAUCCUUGGGAUACCACCCUUGUA